RNAcentral lists this ribosomal RNA (473 nucleotides) under uncultured bacterium. RNAcentral's name for it is "SSU rRNA". It matches the Rfam family "Bacterial small subunit ribosomal RNA", at positions 26 to 518 of the family's 1533-position model. The record is from RNAcentral.
AGAAUGAACGUUGGCGGCGUGGAUUAGGCAUGCAAGUCGAACGGGCCGCAAGGCCAGUGGCGGAAGGGUGAGUAAGGCGACGGUAACCAACCCCAUGGUUGGGUAUAGCCGCGGGAAACUGCGGGUAAUCCCCAGCGACGUCCGAGCCGGGCAUCCGGCACGGACCAAAGUCCUGGCGCCGUGGGACGGGCCGUCGUGGUAUUAGGUAGUUGGCGGGGUAACGGCCCACCAAGCCUAUGAUGCCUACCGGGCGUGCGAGCGUGGCCCGGCACACUGGGACUGAGACACUGCCCAGACUCCUACGGGAGGCUGCAGUCGAGAAUCUUCGGCAAUGGGCGCAAGCCUGACCGAGCGACGCCGCGUGGAGGAUGAAGGCCUUCGGGUUGUAAACUCCUGUCGAGGGGGAGGAAGGUCGGGUAACCGGCUUGACCGAUCCCUGGAGGAGCACGGGCUAAGUUCGCGCCAGCAGCCGC